Molecule: ribosomal RNA, 253 nt
Filed under: uncultured bacterium
Lineage: Bacteria
Description: partial 16S ribosomal RNA
Rfam family: Bacterial small subunit ribosomal RNA
Source: RNAcentral
UACGGAGGGUGCAAGCAUUAAUCGGAUUUAUUGGGCGUAAAGGGCGCGUAGGCGGGAAAGAAAGUUAGAUGUGAAAGCCUGAGGCUUAACUUCAGAACAGCAUCUAAAACUCCUUUUCUAGAGGAUGAGCGGGGAAAAUGGAAUUCCACAUGUAGCGGUGAAAUGCGUAGAUAUGUGGAGGAACACCGGUGGCGAAGGCGAUUUUCUAGCUUAUUCCUGACGCUGAGGCGCGAAAGCAAGGGGAUCAAACAGG